GAUGAAGAACGUAGUGAAAUGCGAUAAGUAAUGUGAAUUGCAGAAUUCAGUGAAUCAUCGAAUCUUUGAACGCACAUUGCGCCCGCCAGUAUUCUGGCGGGCAUGCCUGUCUGAGCGUCAUUUCAACCCUCAGCCCCCGCUCGCGGGGCGCUGGCGUUGGGGAUCGGCCGUCCUCGCGGCGGCCGGCCCCGAAACACAGUGGCGGUCUCUCGCGGACUCCCCUGCGUAGUAGCACUACCUCGCAGAAGGGACGAGCGGGCUGACCACGCCGUAAAACCCCCCACUUCUCCAGGUUGACCUCAAAUCAGGUAGGAAUACCCGCUGAACUUAAGCAUAUCAAUAAGCGGAGGA
Molecule: unclassified non-coding RNA, 351 nt
Filed under: soil metagenome
Description: partial contains 5.8S ribosomal RNA, internal transcribed spacer 2, and large subunit ribosomal RNA
Rfam family: 5.8S ribosomal RNA (bases 1-120)
Source: RNAcentral